This 49-nucleotide transfer RNA is filed under the name Orthotrichum anomalum. Its description in RNAcentral is "partial tRNA-Leu". The record is from RNAcentral. Lineage: Eukaryota; Viridiplantae; Streptophyta; Bryopsida; Orthotrichales; Orthotrichaceae.
AAAUCCGUUGGCUUUAUUGACCGUGAGGGUUCAAGUCCCUCUACCCGCA